This 7190-nucleotide long non-coding RNA is filed under the name Lynx pardinus (Iberian lynx). The record is from RNAcentral. Lineage: Eukaryota; Metazoa; Chordata; Mammalia; Carnivora; Felidae.
AGUGGAUUGUGUAUGUGUGACUUUGUAAAUCAUUGUAGAGGAUCACAUGACAAUCCAUGUUGGAGGAGGAGAGGAGAUUUAGCCAGAAGGACAUAAGCCCUUUGAAUAUUAGUUAGAAAUCUUCAGAACAUUACCUUCCUGCUGACUGCAUUACAGCCAAUCCCACUCAGGUUUAAGGAGGGUUGGAAUGGCGAGGAUUCUCAUCUAACAUCUGGACUGCAGUUGCAUUUUAAACAUGGCUUCCUGGAAAUAUACCAAAUGAAAGAAUAACUAUAAAGUUGAGAAUUUCAGGUUGGGGGCAAGCAGGCUUUUCAAAACUCCUUUGUUCAAAACUUGGCUCACAUCAGACUGAACAUGUAUUUUCCACUCAUUACAGCCAGCCUAAAGUAAAGUACUUGAACUAGACCCUCAGGUGAACUUUGGUCCUGGGGGAUUUUGUGUUCUUUGGUAAUGGUAUCUCUGUAUUGUACAAGAAACUCGUAGGACAGCCCUCUCCUCUUCCUGUGUUGCUCAAAUGGCGUGACCUUGAACCUCUGCCUUCCCAGGGCAGAUACUUCACAAGUAAGAGGAAAAACUAUCUGAUCAGGUAUCCCCUUCUCUGCCCCCUCUCUCCUGCUGCAGAGAAAGUGAUCAACCAGCAGCAGGUACCAGCCACAGUUAAAUGUACCUGCUUGGAGCUUUCAAAAAGCUAUUUCUGCAGUAAUGAAGAAAUUCGCAUUUCACCUCCCUCCACACAGGACUCACUGGAGAAAGAGGUAAGGAAGUUGAUAUAUGAUCCUUUUAGAUGCGCUCUGUUAUACCCAACUGCUUUCAAAGGAUGGAUUUUGAAACUAGAGAGUGAAAGAAGAAAAAGAACAAAGACUUUAAGGUUCUGAGAGAUACAAAAAAAUACACUUCCAUUCUUGCCCUCUGGCUGGGGAAUCCUGCUGGCUGACUUAUAAUUUGAAGAAGAGAUUUCUUUUAGGCUUUUCUUAUGAGAUUUCCCACAUUUUCUUGUACUUCUGUAUGACAUGGUAGCAAAUAGAAAAGUUUAAAUUCAAAUUCCAUGAGAAUAAAUGAAUAUAAGAAUCAUUGUUGCAGUGGUGAUAGUUCCAAAUACAGUUCAUAAAGUAGCUUAAUUUUUUACUGUGUUACUUUAAUACUAUAAAUAAGUGAACCAUUAAUUAUGCUUUGAUAAGUUGGCCAAAUACUUUCCUGAUGAAAUUGUAUUUAUUACUGUGGGGUUUGGCAUAUGUAAUAAAGAUCAGGACAGCAAAUAACUAGAAUUUGUGAACAACUUGCUAAGUACUCACCAUUUUGCUGACUUUUUCCAUUAUGAAGAAAUAGGAGAUAUUGGAUCAUAUGUUCAUGAAAUAUGAACAUGUUUUCAUUUUUUGUUGGGGAGAAAAAUGUAAAAUGUAAACCACAUAGUGCCUGAUCUGAAGGGAAUCCCAAUACAGAAGAAUCAGUGAAGGCUGAAAUCACCAGGGAAAGAGGGAAUUUGAGCUGACCUGGAUUUGGAAAAAAAGGACGUUUUGAAUGAAAAAAGGAUAUGUGAUAAAGAAAUACUAUUGGAGGGCUUGUAAGACAGGAUAGGCAGGUACCCUUGAGUGGGAAGCAUAUCUCCAGGAGCAGAGAAUGAUACAGGAUUGUAGGGAACAUCAGAUUCACAGGUGCCUUGAAAGACCGAUUGGACUCUGGUAGGAUGUUGGUGUCAUUGAAUGUUUUUGAAAAGAAAACUCACUGAAUUAAAUUUAUGGGGGUUUCCCAUCAACAGAAAAGUCCUUUCACACAUUCAGUGAACUUUAGUGAUGCUGAAUAAUUCUGCUAAUAGGUAUCACACAUGGUCUCUGCUGCUACUUAAAACAUUUGUACAUUAGAGGAGGCAGGACAUCCCUGGAUUUAUGUAUUUUCCCAGCCAAAACUCUCUCUCUCUCUCACGUUGUACUGUAUUGCUUUUUUUCUCCACUUUUUAAUUUAAAUUCUAGUUAGUUAACACAUAGUGUCAUAUUAGUUUUAAGAGAAUUUAGUGAUUCAUUACUUAUGUAUAACACCCGGUGCUCAUCACAAUGUCCUCCUUAAUACCCAUCACCCAUGUAGCCCAUCCCCCCCACCUCCUCUCCAACAACCCUCAGUCUGUUCUCUGUAGUUAAGAGUCUGUUUUAUGGUUUGCCUCCCACUUGUUUUUUUUCUGUCCCCUAUGUUCUUCUGUUUUGUUUCUUAAAUUCCAUAUGAGUGAUAUCAUAUGGUAUUUGUCUUUCUCUGACUGACUUCACUUAGCUAUUAUCACUAACUCCAUCCAUAUCAUUGCAAAUGGCAAAACUUCAUUCUUUUUGAUGAUUGAGUAAUAUUCCACUGUGUGUGUGUGUGUGUGUGUGUGUGUGUGUGUAUUUCUCCAUUCACCAGUUGAUAGACAUUUGGGCUCUUUCCAUAGUUUGGCCAUUGUUGAUAAUGCUGCUGUAAACAUUGUGGUGCAUGUGCCCCUUCAAAUCAGCAUUGUAUCCUUCAGGUAAAUACCUACUGGUGCAAUUGCUGGGUCUAGGGUAGUUCUAUUUGUAACUUUUUGAGAAAGAUUCAUACUGUUUUCAGAGUGGCUGCACCAGUUUGCAUUCCCAUCAACGGUGUAAGAAGGUUCUCCUUCCUCCUUACCAAUAUCUGUUGUUCCUUGUGUUGUUAAUUUCAGCCAUUCUGGCAGGUGUGAGGUGGUAUCCCACUCUGGUUUUGAUAUAUAUUUCCCUGAUGAUGAGUGAUGUUAAGCAUUCUUGAUUAUACUUUCAAACUCACUCCACAUGGAAUUAUCAUAUAAGAAGAACUAGGUUUCAGUGCGCUGAGGAAGGACUGGCACAGAAUGGUUAAUAGGUUGGAUGCAGGAUGCUUGAUGUACAUUCGGUCUGAGGACAUUGCCAUUUAAAAUUUUUAUUUAUUUUUUUUAAAUAUUUAUUGUGAGAGAGCAUGAACACAUGUGUGUAUGCACACACUUGUGUGCAUGUGAGUGGGGGGAGGGGCAGAAACAGAGGGAGAGGGAGAAUCCCAAGCAGGCUUCGCUGUCUUGCAAACCCAUGAGAUCAUGACCCAAGCCAAAAUCAGGAGUUGGAUGCUCAACUGACUUGAGUCACCCAGGUACUUGAGUCACCUUUGCUUUUUUUAAAUAAAAUAUUUAGAAUUAGAAAUGCCAACACUGAUUUCUCAGGCCAACAGUCUCCUUGAUUUGGUUCAUUUAUGGUCCAAAAAGAAAGAAGAUUUUUCAAGUCAUAAAGAUCGUGUCAUCCUCUGAUUCCAAACCAGGAACACAGAGUGAUUGAGGCUCCUCCAAGUGUACUUCCCAAGUUUUGCCUCGAAUUCAUCAUUAUUGCCUCUGUUGUAUUGUCUCCCCAUGGAGUAGCUUCAUUGAGAGCCAAGGCUGCAGGAAGAGCCUGUUACCCUAACUCUUCUGACUGGAUCCUCUCUUCUCCUCAGAUCUGCAUACCUUGCUCCAUUUUCCACCUGAACUGUAGACAGAGGACAUGGGUUUGAGUUUAGUAUGACACUGUUGGGAUUUCAGUUAGGCAAAGAGAACCACUUCGGUACUAUAAAGGUGGUUGGUUAGUCAGUCUCCCUUUUGAUCUCCUGUGUUGGAAUCCUGACAGGCAGUGAAGAGGCUGACAGCCCGGGAGACUUCACAUCAUGAGUUAAAAAGACCCCCAUUUUUCUACUGGAGUUUGAGAUUGCAAACAUUUUCCAGUCCUGUGAGUCUCUAAUGAGGCUGUUUCUUUGUCUUAUGAAGGAAUUGUCCAAAUCUGGAUGCACACCCCCACUCCCCAGCCCCCACUCCUUUUUUGUUUGUUUGUUUUUUUAAGAUUAAGGUCCCUGGAGAGGUGAACAUUUUCCUUUUUAGUAGACUCUUCUCUAAUUCUUACAGGAAUAAACUUUCAAGUUUACCUCACUGAGACAACCCAUUUCCUUUUUCAACUUUAUUUGGUUAUUUCUCUCCCUGUAUGCUAGUGAGCUACUAGGCCACAGUUCUUGGCUUUGAAUACAGCUCUGAGUUUUUGUCAAAGAGAAGAUUGAUACCAUCAGCUUCCAGGGAUUCAUGUGGCCCUGGAGUCAUUCAGGAUUAAUUUACUAAAUUAGCAAACCUGUCAGUUAAUUGCCUAUUCAUUGGAGUCUGAGAAAGAAAAUUUAAACUCACUAGCAAUUUUGACAUCUUAGGAGGACAAAGAAAUUAUAUACGUUUAACUCUAAUAUCAUUGCUAUUGCUAUAUUGUGAGUCUUCCUACUAUAAGUGGUUGAAGCACCAUUUGGCAUGCUAAAUAAUUGCACUGCAUGCCACUUCUUUGAAAAUAAAUAUUAAUACAAGCACAGCUAAUAAAUAUUGCAUUCAGUUAUAAUAGUAAAUGUAGUAAAAUUGAGUCUCUGUUGAUGAGAUUGACCCUAAAUAAUUUUUAUUGAAUUUAAUGAAAUCAUUAGGCAGCCUUUAGGAUCUAUCAGAGUAUGCAUUUUCUUUGAAGAGACUUUAUCAUCUAAUAUGAAUGAACACACAUUAUUAUAAACAUAUAUUAGCAUAUAAUACAUACUUAUAUAUAAAAAUACAUAAAUAUAAAAAUAUAUAUUUGUCGUGGCGAUGGUGGUGGUAGUACAGUCUUACAAAAUGAAAAUCUUACAAAGACUGACAAAAUGAAAAUAUGGCUCACCAUUUUUACCUUUCCAUUAUCUUCUAAGCAUCCCUAGUAAGAUUUCUCUUUUACUGACCUAAGGAAUAAUAAAGAAAGUCCUGGAUUGAUUUUAGGAGGUGUGGAUCACAUGAGGAGUUCUGCCUCUGAUGAGCUGUGGAAAUUUGCAUGAGCCAUAUUCUCUCUGUAAGUCCCAUUUUGUCACCUAUGAUAAUGGGUCAUUCGGCCAAUGAAUAGCAAAGAAGGGAGACAUGGGCCCUGUUCUCAGGGAGACAAUACUGCCAGGGAGUGAUGUAGACAAAUAAUGAGCAAGAUGAUCUCAGAUGUUAGUGCUGUGUAGAUCAGAAGAGUAACAAGCUGGUUAGUAACUGAAAGAUACUUCUAGACUGGGUGAUCAGAGGAAAGCUCUGUGGCACAGUGACAUUGGAACUGGGACUCAAAUGACAAGGAGGAGCCAAACCAUGAAAGAGCUGGAGGAGAGGCAUCUGGGACAGCAAAGGAGAAAGCCCCAUGGCCAGAACACACAUGGUUUGUUCAUGAAUAGAAAAGAGAUUAUUGUGCUUGGUGCUCACCAUGGAAGGGGGCAAGAUGGGGGGAGAAGACUCAGAGGUCAGAGUGGGGCAGUAACUGAUUGUGUAGAGUCUUGGAGGCCAUGUGAAAGAUAUUAUUUUAAGUACAAGAGAAGCCAUUGGAAAGUUCUGAACAGUGAACAUCAUCAGAUUGGUUUUACAGAACCCCUGCCUGCUCUGUGGGAGAAUGGACCACAGAGGGACAUGGAGGCAGGGAGGAGGCUGCUGAAGACGAUUGCACCCUAAUCCCAUUGGGAAGUAAUGGGAUCAAACUCUGAUCAACCCUUCAUUAUCCUUGAGGGUCCAGAUCUUCUCUCUCACACACACACACAAAAGGCUCAAAUCCACUUGCCUAGCUUUAAAAAUUCUCAGGGCAUUAUUGUACAUCUUGAAGACCAUCCAUGGCUUGCUUCCAGCCAGGAGUGGACACUGUACGUUGCCUGCAUCUUCUGAUAUGCUGUUUAAAUAUUUUCUGAAAGGGGGGUUAUUGACAUCUUUCUGCAUAUUUAGAUUCCCACGAAUACCAGAGAAAAAAGAAACAGAACAAAAAACAAACAAACAAACUAGGUUUGUUAAAAGUUCUUUUUGUUCUUUGACUUGAUUUCUUUCAUUAAUGCAUAAAUCACUACUAAGGUUUUGCGUGUGACAUUACAGCAAGUUAAUUUUUUAGGGCCUAAGGCAUUUUACCAAGGAGUUUCAUCAUUUCUGGUACUCAGACACUUUGUAGUCAGUUUUAUUACUGCCCCUUUUAGAAGUAGGUGAUACCAUAAGGGCAGGUAAGGAAGGCAUCACGUUUUUAUGAUGAGAUGAAAAAACAUAUUCACUGUAGUCCCCUUCCUUUAAAUACACGAAAUAAUAAAAGUAAUAAACAGAAAAAGUAACUCCAAGAAGCUCAAAUAACAAAAAAUAGAGAAGAAAAUCCACCUUGAGUGAGGAGGGAAAAAAAAAAAAUAGAACACAGCCACAAACCCCAAACAUAAAGCAUAAAAAUGAUCUGCCAGACAGAGUACAAUGUGGACUCAGGGAAAGAUGAUUCAGGAAACACAGUACAGCUCCUCUAAACCCAGGGGCCAGGGGACCGGCCAACUCUGAAGGGGGCUGACUGCAAGGCAGUAGGGAAUAGGGAGGGUGGAAGUGAAUGGUACCCCCAUGUAAAGAGAACAGCCAUAGCUCAGAUCUAGCCAAUUUUUGCCAUGCAGAAAAAUUACCAUUGAGGAUUGCCAGAUAUCUGAUUUUUUUUAACAAACUGGAAAGAUGGAUUUUUAUAUGAAAUGUUCCUAUCUUUCAAACACUGUGUGGGCCAAACAAAAUUAUCUGCCAGCUGGAUUCCAUCUGUGGGCUGCCAAUCUGUGAUCCCUGCUCAAAAAGUAAGUGGCAUAAUUCUCAAAGGCCCAUGUAAUGAUUCUUUGAUUAGAUGGAUGAGACAUAUGAGUGGAAGAGAAGAGUCCCCAGAGAUAGCUAAUUCUCCAUUACGAUGAGAUGGGGAGGUAGAGUUGUUUAUGGCUGGGUUUCCAGGCAAGGGAUUGCAUUAGGUGAGGAGGGUGAGAGGGAGCCAUAGCAUUGAUGGACAGACUUUCUGGGACUUUAAGGGCACAAGGUGAGCUUCCCUGACUCCCCCAUGUAUGAACACGGGAUUGGGGGGUUGGGGCUCAUGGCAGAAGACACAUCCAGCUUAGCUGAGUGUCAGAAACAAACCCAAACCCAAACUGGAACUGCUUUAGAUCCUUGGCCUCACCCUUCCCGUCCCGUUCUUUAGCAAUAGUUGGCCUGGAUGGAAGUGCUGCAGCAAAGAUUAAUAACUGAAAGGCAGCAGCACAGCAUCUGUGCAGAAAGCAAAUGUGAGCAAGUCAACCAGCACACAUUUCCGCCAACCUUAAAUAAAGAAGAAGCAGAGGGAGGAACAGCAUCUCUUAGGUCGGGACUCUUCCUAGAAAAUAAGGAAGAAUUCAGACUGAUGCCCUUCUGUAGUUUCCAAGACACUCAAGACAACAAA